This 480-nucleotide ribosomal RNA is filed under the name uncultured organism. RNAcentral's name for it is "partial 16S ribosomal RNA". It matches the Rfam family "Bacterial small subunit ribosomal RNA", at positions 330 to 801 of the family's 1533-position model. The record is from RNAcentral.
CGUACACUCCUGCGGGAGGCAGCAGUGGGGAAUUUUGGACAAUGGGCGAAAGCCUGAUCCAGCCAUGCCGCGUGCAGGAUGAAGGCCUUCGGGUUGUAAACUGCUUUUGUACGGAACGAAACGGCCUUUUCUAAUAAAGAGGGCUAAUGACGGUACCGUAAGAAUAAGCACCGGCUAACUACGUGGCAGCAGCCGCGGUAAUACGUAGGGUGCAAGCGUUAAUCGGAAUUACUGGGCGUAAAGCGUGCGCAGGCGGUUAUGUAAGACAGUUGUGAAAUCCCCGGGCUCAACUUGGGAACUGCAUCUGUGACUGCAUAGCUAGAGUACGGUAGAGGGGGAUGGAAUUCCGCGUGUAGCAGUGAAAUGCGUAGAUAUGCGGAGGAACACCGAUGGCGAAGGCAAUCCCCUGGACCUGUACUGACGCUCAUGCACGAAAGCGUGGGGAGCAAACAGGAUUAGAAACCCUAGUAGUCCCAUGAU